GGCCCUAUGGGGUGCAGCAGGCGCGAAACCUCUACAAUGCACGCAAGUGUGAUAGGGCAACCCCUCGUGCUUAUCUUUUGAUAGGCUUUUAUUAAGUGUAAUGUACUUAAUGAAUAAGUGGUGGGCAAGACCAGUGCCAGCAGCCGCGGUAAUACUGGCGCCACAAGUGGAGAUCCUGAUUAUUGGGUCUAAAGUGUUCGUAGCUGGUUUUUUAAGUCUUUUGUGAAAGUUCUGUGGCUUAACUCAGAAAUUGCAAAAGAUACUGGAAAACUUGAGACCGGGAGAGGUAUGAAGUAUGGAUUGGGUAGCGGUUAAAUGUUAUAAUCCUUUCCAGACUAACUAAGGCGAAGGCAUCAUACUAGAACGGAUCUGACAGUGAGGAACGAAAGCUAAGGUAGCGAACCGGAUUAGAUACCCGGGUAGUCUUAGCUGUAAACGCUGCGGGUUACGCUUUGUUAAAUCUAUGGGAUUUAACAGGGGGGUAGCGAAGGCAUUAAACCCGCCACCUGGGGAGUACAGCCGCAAGGCCGAAACUUAAAGGAAUUGGCGGGGGAGCAC
RNAcentral lists this ribosomal RNA (558 nucleotides) under uncultured archaeon. Its description in RNAcentral is "bacterial SSU rRNA". It matches the Rfam family "Archaeal small subunit ribosomal RNA", at positions 319 to 879 of the family's 1478-position model. The record is from RNAcentral.